AUGCUGGUUUGGCAUCUCUAUCUCUUAGAUGGAUGCCUUAGGCAAAUGGUAAUGGUUUGGCAUCUAUCAUGGAAAAUACCAUCUGCAUUCUGCAAGAUACGUUUACUGAUGGUUGCAGCCACCAUGUUACAGCAGAGAACAUAUUCAAAAAAUUUACUCGUUUGCAUUACCCAUAGCUACAAGAUCACAACACAGGCUAAAGGACUUCAAAACUGUAACAAGUGUCCAGUUCAGGUUCAAUGCCUUUUCAGUCUUAGUGAACAAUCUUCAGACAAGAGCUCAAUCUCAACAGAAGAUGCAAACACAAACACAGGAAGUGCAAUGCAAGCAGGGUAA
This 336-nucleotide ribosomal RNA is filed under the name Triticum aestivum (bread wheat). RNAcentral's name for it is "partial small subunit ribosomal RNA". Lineage: Eukaryota; Viridiplantae; Streptophyta; Magnoliopsida; Poales; Poaceae. The record is from RNAcentral.